GCGGGUGUAGCUCAGUUGGUAGAGCAUCAGCUUCCCAAGCUGAUGGUCGUGAGUUCGAGACUCAUCGCCCGCU
Molecule: transfer RNA, 73 nt
Filed under: Verrucomicrobiota bacterium
Lineage: Bacteria; Pseudomonadati; Verrucomicrobiota
Description: tRNA-Gly
Rfam family: tRNA
About the family: Transfer RNA (tRNA) molecules are approximately 80 nucleotides in length. Their secondary structure includes four short double-helical elements and three loops (D, anti-codon, and T loops). Further hydrogen bonds mediate the characteristic L-shaped molecular structure. tRNAs have two regions of fundamental functional importance: the anti-codon, which is responsible for specific mRNA codon recognition, and the 3' end, to which the tRNAs corresponding amino acid is attached (by aminoacyl-tRNA synthetases). tRNAs cope with the degeneracy of the genetic code in two manners: having more than one tRNA (with a specific anti-codon) for a particular amino acid; and 'wobble' base-pairing, i.e. permitting non-standard base-pairing at the 3rd anti-codon position.
Source: RNAcentral